This is a long non-coding RNA of Cebus imitator (Panamanian white-faced capuchin), 525 nucleotides long. RefSeq lists it as uncharacterized. The record is from RefSeq and is a predicted model, not a curated record. Lineage: Eukaryota; Metazoa; Chordata; Mammalia; Primates; Cebidae. The transcript is spliced from 3 exons.
AUGGUGCUUGGUAGCUUUCAGUGUAUAAGUCUUGAAUUUCUUUGGUUAAAUGCAUUCGUAAGUAUUUUAUUCUUUUGAUGUUAUUGUAAAUGGAAUGGUUUUCUUGAUGUGAUUUUUGUGUCUUCAUUUCUUGACUUUUUCAGCUUCUAGGGCCACCCGCAUUCCUUGGUUUAUGGCCCCUUCCUCCAUCCUCAAAACCAGCACUAGCAGAUACUUGAUCUCACAUCCCCUGCUCCUUCUUCCAUCCUUGGAUUCCUCUCUCUCAGCCAGAAACCUUCGCUUCUGUUAGGACUCAAGAGGAUUAAACUCACCUGGACAGUCCAGGAAACUCUCCAUAUCUUAAAGUCUUCACCCUUCAACACCUUAAUUUGCCAUGUAAGGUGGCAUUGUUUCAGGAGGUAGAAGCCACAUGGAGGCUUGGAGCUGUGCCACAUUCUUAAUUGGACACCUUGUUGAAUGUGGAGGAGGACUUGUCCACUUUCUGCUGGGACGCUGACUCGAAUGAGGGAUUGGAGUGAAGUGUGU